GCGCCGGUUGUCUAACGGUAGGAUUCUGCCUUGCCAAGGCAGCGGUCCGGGUUCGAAUCCCGGCUGGCGCA
Molecule: transfer RNA, 71 nt
Filed under: archaeon
Lineage: Archaea
Also listed under: 1 other name
Description: tRNA-Gly
Rfam family: tRNA
About the family: Transfer RNA (tRNA) molecules are approximately 80 nucleotides in length. Their secondary structure includes four short double-helical elements and three loops (D, anti-codon, and T loops).
Source: RNAcentral